UUCAUUGGAGCGAAGUGGGUGAAAAAGUCGCCCUUGGUCCGGAUGUGCGAGAAGCGGAAGAAAAGGUCCGCAUUGCUCGUGAGAAGCUGGUGACGGCACAAUCCCGGCAACGAAGCUAUGCGAAUAAGCACCGGAAGUAUUUAGAGUUUGCGGUUGGCGAUUCGUCGAGCCGGUACGAAGAUAUUGAAGAAACAAGCUAAAUUGGUACAGAUGGCGGCAGCUCGCGGUGUAGGUGUCUAAAAAUUGUGAAAAUUGAAUCGGGGCUUCUCAGCAUUCCUACAAGGUGGGGGGUGUUGUCCGGAAACACCGGAUCUCUUUCUAUGUCUAUGUCACUUCUUUGAGCAUGUUGAUAAUAUUGUACUCAUGCAUGUAGGGUAAUGAGAUAAAUGUUGAUUGUAUCAAUUAUCUGCUUAUGAACAUUGCAAAUAUAUUGUAGAGCCAUGAGAACGAGAAAAUGAACAACCCUAUAUGUAUGUGAAAGUGAGAAAAGACUUGAUCCAUAGUAAAUAAAGGUGACAUUAACUCUAGUGACAUGAUUGGCACCGAGGACAUAUUGUGCUAGAUAAGGUAAAACCUUAAAAGCAUUGUGAAAUAUUGACUAUCCCAUUGGUGGACAUUGUGGUAAGUGUGGCCCUAGAUAAUGUGACCUUGUGACA
Molecule: long non-coding RNA, 656 nt
Filed under: Ananas comosus (pineapple)
Lineage: Eukaryota; Viridiplantae; Streptophyta; Magnoliopsida; Poales; Bromeliaceae
Description: long non-coding RNA (ACOM_LNC005433)
Source: RNAcentral